UAUUAGGUUGGUGCAAAAGUAAUUGUGGUUUUUUCCAUUGAAAGUAAUGGCAAAAACCACAGUUAUUUUUGCACCAACCUAAUA
Non-coding RNA from Pongo abelii (Sumatran orangutan), 84 nucleotides. Lineage: Eukaryota; Metazoa; Chordata; Mammalia; Primates; Hominidae. The record is from Rfam.